AACGGCCAUACCAUGCUGAAUAUACCGGUUCUCGUUAGAUCACCGAAGUCAAGCAUCAUUGGGCGCGGUCAGUACUUGGGUGGGUGGCCACCUGGGAAUACCGUGUGCCGUU
RNAcentral lists this ribosomal RNA (112 nucleotides) under Caerostris darwini. The record is from RNAcentral. Lineage: Eukaryota; Metazoa; Arthropoda; Arachnida; Araneae; Araneidae.